This is a long non-coding RNA of Scylla paramamosain (green mud crab), 3550 nucleotides long. RefSeq lists it as uncharacterized. NCBI's taxonomy places the organism in Eukaryota, Metazoa, Arthropoda, Malacostraca, Decapoda, Portunidae. The record is from RefSeq and is a predicted model, not a curated record. The transcript has 6 exons.
CUUACUGGUGGGCUUGGCAACAAUGUCCACGCCCGUCACUUGGCACUGGAACCACGACCCAUCCUUGCCAGACACAAUGAAGGGGGAGCUGCCGGCGGGCUGCUGCGGGGCAGGGCUGCUGGGGGAGAGAGGGGUCCCCCAGCUCCCCCACCUCCCCCUGCUGCUCCGAGGCCAUCACCAGGCCCAGCGCAGGGGACGGCCAGGCAGAGAGGUCACACAGCGCCUCGUCCACGGCCUCAGGACUCCCCAAGAGGUCACACAGGGUCAGGUAAAGCUGUGACGCUCGGAAGACCCCCAGACGGUCUAGGCUUUGGAAGGCCAGGAUGCGGCCAAGAGGAGACCGUUCACUGAGUCUGCCGGUGGUGGUGGCAGUGGUGGUGCUGGUGGUGGUGGUGCUGGUGGUGGAGGUGGUGGAGGUGGUGGUGGUGUUGGAGAAGGUGAAGGUAAGGGCUGCGAUGAUGGUGUCUCGGAGGUAAUGGAAGGGUUGAGUCUCAUCUACUGGUUGUCCAUCCUGUGGUGGGAGGCAGGGUGACAGUGAGGCAGGGUGGCAGUGAGGCAGGGUGACAGUAAGAAAGGGUGAGUUUUGAGUGAGGGAAAAUACAAUAUGAUGAUUUUAGAGUAAGGAAGAAUAAAAAAGGUGGUUUUAGAGAGAGAGUGAGCGAGGUAGGGUGAGGUGCAGUGAGAUUCAGAUAAGGUAAGGUAGUGUGAGAGUGGGAUAAGGUGAGAUAAGGUGAGGGAGUGGAGGUGCAGGGUGAUCUUAGGUUGAGGGAUAAUAGAAUAAUUGACUUUAGGAUAAAGAAAUAUACUUAAUGCAUGUAAGAUUAUGCAGUGGGUGACAUUUAGGGUGAAGUAGCACAGGUAUGAUAAAGAGGUAACAUUAGGGUGAAGGAGCAUAGGUAGACGGCUGCUGUAGGGUCAGAAAGAGGCUAUAUAGGGUGAAAUGUGGCUUAGGGAUGAAGGAAUGUAGGGUGCUGAGUGACUUUAGGGUGAAGGAAGAUAAAAAGGGUGUGAUGGAGGGUGAUCUUAGGGUGACUGGAUAGAAUUACUGGGUUUAGGGUGAGUUAGGGUAGAGAUGUUUUUUUUUAGGGUGAGGAAAGACAGGGAGGGUGAGAUUGGUGAGUGGGGGAGUGUAUUGUAGGGUGAAAUAGAUGCAAGUUUGGGGAGUAAGGUGUCAUAGAUAGAAAGAUAGAUAGAUAUAGAUAGAUAGAUAUAUAGGUAGAUACAUAAUGGAUAGGUAUGCUUAGAUAUAUAUAGAUGCAAAGAUAGAUAAAUAGAUAAAUAAACAGGAUAAAAAUUUGAAUCAAUACACUACAUUAAUAAAAGAUACAGGUAGACAUAUUAAUAGGAAACAGUAUUUUGAAUCAACAUAUAAAUAAAAAAAAUAAAUAAAAAAAAAAACUUGGAGAAAAAAACUUGGAAAAAAAAAAAAACUCGCUCUCUCUCUCUGCUAUACUCACAACAAACACUUUAAAAUUAUUCUGUGGUGCCAGGAUGAGGUUGUCCACUGCCCUGCGCAUCCUGUCCACAUUCCUGAAGAGAGGGCAUCAUCAAUAUUCUCAUCACUAUCAUCAACACUAUUAUCAUCAUCACUAUCACUAACAUUAUCAUUAUUGGUAUCUAUUUCUCCCUAUCAUUAGUGUACUCAUCAUUAUCAAUACUCACAAUAUUAAUAUUAUCAUCCUGUCAUUAUCAUCAUUGUCACUUUCACUAUAAAUUUUCUCAUUAUUAGUUAUUAUCAUUAUUUAUUUAUCUAUUUUUUAUCAUUGUCAUUACUACUCUCAUGAUUGUUCUGUCAUUAUCAUCAUCAUCAUCAUCAUCCUCACUACAACUAUUCUGUCACUAUUAGGAUCUACUUCUCUCUUUUGUUAGUAUAUCACUGCUACUUUCACUAUCAUUCCUGUUAUUAUCUUUGUUUCACCAUCAUCAUGCUUACCCUGAGAAGAGGUCAAGAGGACAGUAACCACUCCGACUGCCACUUUCCUUCCCGGCCUGAGGAAAAAUCACUACCAUUGUAAACAUCACCAUCAUCACCAUCAAUGAAAUCUAAGGCACCAUCAUUUGUAAUAUACUAAAUGAACUUCUGUCUAUCCCCCUUUUCAAGAAAAAGGAGAGGCCACAGUAUCUCAAUCUUAGGAACACCCCUUUUUUGGCUCUACAAGAAUAACCAUCUUCUGUUUUUUUCUCAUUUUUCUUUCAUAUAACUUUCUUUUCUCCCCAUCUCCUCUUCACCCUCUGAUUUCACAAUACAGGGGCACCUUCACCCUGUCCCUUACUCCUUCACCCUUCACAAACACAGGGGAUCACAGUCACUCACCUUAAGGGCCUACAGACAGCCUCACCCUUCUUCCCUGUCAUCCUCACACAACAGCCUCACCCUACCCUGUCAUCCUGAACAGCCUCACCCUACCCUGUCACCCUGAACAGCCUCACCCUUCCCUGUCACCCUCAAAACACCCUCUUCCUUCCAUCACCCUCACAAAACACCCUUACCCAUCCCUAUCACCCACACACAACACCCACAACCUUUCCUACCACCCAGAUCACCCUUCCCCCUUCCCUAUCACCUUUCUCCAUCACCCACACAAACAGAGGGGCCCACAGUCACUCACCUUUAGGAACUGCUUCACACAGUACCUACACAGAGGCAUGCCUGGCGUAGACCUAUCUAGGAAUCCCUGUUUAGGCUUAAUCUCUAUGCACAUGUUCCUCGCCUCCCUUGGGUACUGCUGUCCCACACCACACUUCUGGCGGGCGCAGGUGUGGGUGGUGUGGGCGUGGUGGUGUCGUGGCGGGGGAUGAAGAUGGUGGUGGCGUCAGGGCAGAUGCAGGCGACCCCAUGAGUGUUGAUCUCCUUGCCCUCUCUGUCUCCUGUGGGGGUUGUGGGAGUUGGUGAUGUGUUGUGGGUACUGUUGUGGCUGUUGUUGUUGUGAUUGUUACUGGUAAUACUGUUGUUGUUAUUGUAUCAUUGUUAUUUUUGUCAAUGUCUCACUGUUAUCAUCUCUUUCAUUAUUAUUCUGAUUCAUUUUGUUACUAUUUCAUUAUCAUCUCUUAUCAUCAUUUUUUUGUACCUCUCCUCCAGGGCAGCAGGGUGUCGCUGAGUGCCGAGUCAGGGCGCGGGGACACCAGCACAAGGUGGGCGGCGUCAGUCAGCAGGCGUCCCAGCACGGGCCGCCCCACCCUGGCCAGCACCUCCAGGUCCCGUGCUGCCCGCCGCACCAGCUCCUCCCUACUCAGCCCACUGCCGAUGCUGGUCUUGCGCAACCGCACCACACGUCCCUGGGCCAGAGAAGCGCCAUCUGUAGACUGGUUGCAACAUUCCCAAGAAUAAAAGGAAUGUUGUUGGCAUCUUCUGGUGAGGUGUGCCGCGUUUCACCUGCGUGUCCUUGGUCCAGUCUUGACCUUCGUGCGCAAGCCAGCCUCCCAUCGUUGCUCCACUCCAGGGCGCCUCCAAAAUAAGGUAAUUAAUUGUGGUAAGGUGGUUUGUAAGGUGUAAGUUGAAAGCAGGUAGUUAUGGACCUGUUAAGAUUGUUAGAUGGUUCUGUUUAUUUUC